RNAcentral lists this ribosomal RNA (253 nucleotides) under uncultured bacterium. RNAcentral's name for it is "partial 16S ribosomal RNA". It matches the Rfam family "Bacterial small subunit ribosomal RNA", at positions 524 to 776 of the family's 1533-position model. The record is from RNAcentral.
CACGUAGGGGACGAGCGUUGUCCGGAAUCAUUGGGCGUAAAGCGCGCGUAGGCGGCCCGGAAAGUCGGAUGUGAAAUCCCGGGGCUCAACCCCGGGCCUGCAUCCGAUACUCCCGGGCUGGAGGCAGGUAGGGGAGAUCGGAAUUCCUGGUGUAGCGGUGAAAUGCGCAGAUAUCAGGAGGAACACCAGUGGCGAAGGCAGCGAACUGGCGCUCGAUUGACGCUCAGGCACGAAAGCAUGGGGAUCAAACAGG